UUGAACGCGAAGGACCUUACCUGGGUUUGACAUACACCGGAAAGCUGCAGAGAUGUAGCCCCCGCAAGGUCGGUGUACAGGUGGUGCAUGGCUGUCGUCAGCUCGUGUCGUGAGAUGUUGGGUUAAGUCCCGCAACGAGCGCAACCCUCGUCCUAUGUUGCCAGCACGUCAUGGUGGGGACUCAUAGGAGACUGCCGGGGUCAACUCGGAGGAAGGUGGGGAUGACGUCAAGUCAUCAUGCCCCUUAAGUCCAGGGCUUCACGCAUGGUACAAUGGCCGGUACAAAGGGGUGGGAUACCGCAAGGUGGAGCGAAUCCCAAAAAGCCGGUUUCAGUUCGGAUUGGGGUCUGCAACUUGACCCCAUGAAGUCGGAGUCGGUAGUAAUCGCAGAUCAGCAACGCUGCGGUGAAUACGUUCCCGGGUCUUGUACACACCCAAAA
This 440-nucleotide ribosomal RNA is filed under the name bacterium CPTAC80. Its description in RNAcentral is "bacterial SSU rRNA". It matches the Rfam family "Bacterial small subunit ribosomal RNA", at positions 955 to 1387 of the family's 1533-position model. The record is from RNAcentral.